RNAcentral lists this ribosomal RNA (464 nucleotides) under uncultured bacterium. RNAcentral describes it as "partial 16S ribosomal RNA". It matches the Rfam family "Bacterial small subunit ribosomal RNA", at positions 28 to 506 of the family's 1533-position model. The record is from RNAcentral.
GACGAACGCUGGCGGCGUGCUUAACACAUGCAAGUCGAACGGAAAGGCCCUGCUUGCAGGGUACUCGAGUGGCGAACGGGUGAGUAACACGUGGGUGAUCUGCCCUUCACUUCGGGAUAAGCCUGGGAAACUGGGUCUAAUACCGGAUAGGAGCCAUUUUUAGUGUGAUGGUUGGAAAGUUUUUUCGGUGUAGGAUGAGCUCGCGGCCUAUCAGCUUGUUGGUGGGGUAAUGGCCUACCAAGGCGGCGACGGGUAGCCGGCCUGAGAGGGUGGACGGCCACAUUGGGACUGAGAUACGGCCCAGACUCCUACGGGAGGCAGCAGUGGGGAAUAUUGCACAAUGGGCGCAAGCCUGAUGCAGCGACGCCGCGUGGGGGAUGACGGCCUUCGGGUUGUAAACUCCUUUCGCUAGGGACGAAGCUUUUUGUGACGGUACCUAGAUAAGAAACACCGGCUAACUACGU